UCACUCUCAUUGCGUGAUCACUUUGCAAGGCUGCCCAAUGUAUGGACCUUUUUCUGUGUGUUUGAAGAGUCCAUCUGCCUUUUACUGCCUGAGGAAAAGACAGAAAAUGUUUCUCUUCUAAGUACUGAAAAUGCCAGACACCUGUUUUCCCUGCCUUCACUUGGGAUGCAGUUUAAGGUAACAAUAACAGAGCAGGACACUGGAAUAAAUGAUCAACAGCAACAUUUUAUAAAGGAAGAAAUAGUUUCUUGAAGGAGGUAAUCCCAUCAGGCCUUUUAGUAUAAAGAGAGUGUUUCUCUGCUGUGAUAGAAACUGCUGAAGUAGCAUUCUCCCAUAUUACAGAUGAAGAAGAUGAGAUCCAAAGAGAUGAACAACCUACCAACAUGCCCAGAACUAGAAAACACAACAACAAAUGCUGAUAACAGCUUUUCUUUUGUAUCAUGCUUCCUUGAGUAAAAAAAAUCCUCUAAGCCUUAAAUCACUAAAAUGAUCAUUAAAUCACUUGCUCUAUAAAAACAUAACUAUUCUCAAAACUUUACUUAUACAUAAAUAUGAUUUUAAAUUAAAGAUAAGUGAUAAUCAAACAGAUUCCUUUUUAUCCCACUAUGGAUGCAUAUCCCUAAUUGUUUAAAUUUCUUUGAUUUUACCUUUUGCUAUAUGCCUUUUCUGAUAUUUGGACCUUUCUCAGGUUUUCUUCACAAUAACCUUGUUCCAAACACAGCACAAUAACCUUUACCAC
This 739-nucleotide long non-coding RNA is filed under the name Callithrix jacchus (white-tufted-ear marmoset). Its description in RNAcentral is "lncRNA (ENSCJAG00000080426.1)". The record is from RNAcentral. Lineage: Eukaryota; Metazoa; Chordata; Mammalia; Primates; Cebidae.